UACGAAGGGGGCUAGCGUUGCUCGGAAUCACUGGGCGUAAAGCGCACGUAGGCGGCUCUUUAAGUCAGGGGUGAAAUCCUGGAGCUCAACUCCAGAACUGCCCUUGAUACUGAGGAGCUUGAGUCCGGGAGAGGUGAGUGGAACUGCGAGUGUAGAGGUGAAAUUCGUAGAUAUUCGCAAGAACACCGGUGGCGAAGGCGGCAUCCUGGACCGGCAUUGACGCUGAGGCGCGAAAGCUAGGGGAGCAAACGGG
This 253-nucleotide ribosomal RNA is filed under the name uncultured bacterium. RNAcentral's name for it is "partial 16S ribosomal RNA". It matches the Rfam family "Bacterial small subunit ribosomal RNA", at positions 524 to 776 of the family's 1533-position model. The record is from RNAcentral.